This 253-nucleotide ribosomal RNA is filed under the name uncultured bacterium. RNAcentral describes it as "partial 16S ribosomal RNA". It matches the Rfam family "Bacterial small subunit ribosomal RNA", at positions 524 to 776 of the family's 1533-position model. The record is from RNAcentral.
UACGUAGGGGGCAAGCGUUGUCCGGAAUCAUUGGGCGUAAAGGGCGCGUAGGCGGCGCGGGCAGUCAACGGUGAAAGCCUGGGGCUCAACCCCGAGUCGGCCGUCGAUACUCCCGCGCUCGAGCACUGUAGAGGCAGGUGGAAUUCCGGGUGUAGCGGUGGAAUGCGUAGAGAUCCGGAAGAACACCGGUGGCGAAGGCGGCCUGCUGGGCAGUAGCUGACGCUGAGGCGCGACAGCGUGGGGAGCAAACAGG